CCUACGGGAGGCAGCAGUGGGGAAUAUUGGGCAAUGGGCGCAAGUCUGACCCAGCAACGCCGCGUGAAGGAAGAAGGCUUUCGGAUUGUAAACUUCUUUUCUGAGGGACGAAGAAAGUGACGGUACCUCAGGAAUAAGCCACGGCUAACUACGUGCCAGCAGCCGCGGUAAUACGUAGGUGGCAAGCGUUAUCCGGAUUGAGUGGGUGUAAAGGGCGUGUAGGCGGGAAAGCAAGUCAGAUGUGAAAACUCAGGGCUCAACCCUGAGACUACAUUUGAAACUGUUUUUCUUGAGUGCUGGAGAGGCAAGCGGAAUUCCGGGUGUAGCGGUGGAAUGCGUAGAUAGACGGAGGAACACCAGUGGCGAAGGCGGAUUGCUGGACAGUAACUGACGCUGAGGCGCGAAAGCGUGGGGAGCAAACAGGAUUAGAUACCCGUGUAGUC
This 443-nucleotide ribosomal RNA is filed under the name uncultured bacterium. RNAcentral describes it as "partial 16S ribosomal RNA". It matches the Rfam family "Bacterial small subunit ribosomal RNA", at positions 338 to 795 of the family's 1533-position model. The record is from RNAcentral.